CGCGUCGCAGGACCGCCGCAGCAAGACGCUCUGGAGGGACGCCGCGGGCCGGGCUCCUUUCCCGGAGCCGGGCAGCUCCCCCUUGUGCAGCAGCACGAGCGCCACGGCGCUCAGGAGCGGGACGGCCAGGAGAAAGCUCAAAUACUGGACUGUCCGGUUCAAAACCAGACUCCUGGCAACCCAACAUACUAUGAUUCAAGUCAGUGCCCCGAAGAUUUUGGACUUGUUUACAACUUCGAGAGAAAGAACUGUGUGAAAGAAAGACUGUGUUUUGAGGAGAUUAAAAACUAAGGAAGAAGCAGGGUUUCCAGAUAAGAAGUAACAAGGGAGAAAUUCAGUCAAGGACAGACCGUUGUUUAUCUCUCAUGGUAAGGCAAGCAGAAUUGGGUGGUGCAAAAACCCAGUGCUUUUGGAUCGGCCGUAAACACACUAGUAAGAGGGACAUCACCCCACUUGGACUGUGUGCAACCAGUGGAUGGCAUUCCACUCGACUGGCCCCCACCGAAGGGAUAUAUACCACACCAUUUUGACACACGAGUUGGAAUCCAUCGAUUUGGCAUAUUGGGGUAACGUGCAUGUCGGACUUCCACCUCAACCAAAUUUAUCAACAUUACCUGGGGCUUGGCCAGCCCCGGAGGAGGAGUGAUAAUUACUAACUCGGCUACCCCCUGAAUCUUCUGUUUUCAAAGGCAUUGAUGAUUCCAGCAGAGGUGAGGCUGAUGAGAUCUGGACCAGUGCCUGAGAGCACAGUCACUGUGCAACCCUCUGAAAGAAUACAGCCUACUCUCCUCUGUGCCAAGUUGGAGUGUAUGAAGGAGGUGGAGAAACAAGAUCAUACUCUGCUGAGUAGGAGAACAAAUUUCUUCAUCAAGAAAAAAACCGUGAAAGGAAGGCAACAAAAUAAAGGUGGUUGUCUUUAUUUCAAUUCCUUGGAAAUUCUUGCCCUGUGUUUUGCAAAGGUGGUGAAUGACUGUCACUCCCUGAAUGUCCGCUAUGCAGACCACAGUCCAUCAGUGUGUGAUCUAUGAAGAAUAGUCGGGGACAGAUCUAGUUUAUGGUUAAUAACACAAGAACCUGGAAGUACCCAGGAUCAGAGAAAAGAAAGCUCAUGCCCAUCAUGAUGACCCCUGUCUUCCAACCAAACCCCACCAGGAAAAAAACUGACAAAAAAACAACUACAUCAUCUUCUCAGUCCUUGCAGGUUACUGACUCUCCUGGGCUGAUCAAAGUGGAGUUAGAGAUGGAUUAUGCUCCAGAAAGGGACCACCCUGUCUCAAAGGAUCUAGUCCAAUGCAGAGUCUGUUCUUGACUCACAGAGAUUUCACACUGCAAUAGUUCAGUGAAUCAGGCCCUGGUUGACUUUGACAUGUUAGUGUAAAAUGGCAUGUAAAUAAAGUCAAACAAAUGAGCCUCACAAGAUAGACCACCAACCGGAAAAGCAUCCUGUUCCAUGUUGCAUCCUGUACCAUGUUUUUAUUUUUCUCAAAGCAAAUGCAGCUUUCCCACCCCUCACCCUGUGUGUUGUGUAUCUAAACACAUACCAGUGACACAUCAAUUGGGUGUAUAGGAUUACUUUUCCUUCCAUUAAAUGUCAUGGGGUGCAUGUGUGUAUUAGGACAAUGGUUCAACCUAAUGUUAAAGGCUAAAUGAAUUGCAGCUGCCUGCUCUAUUUCUUGUUAAAAACAUCAUUUAGAUUUUUGUGUGGAUUAAUAUUGUCCUGGAUAUCAGAGCCUCCAACAGUCAUUCUCCAGUAAUAAGUAUUUUUGUAAUUAUUUUACACUUAUAAAUAUAUGUACCUUGCAGACAACAUUUCUAACAUUAGUAUUGAUAUAUAAAAGUAUAUUCCUCUUAAGCUUUACUCUGGGAAAUAUGAGUUGAUGUUUUAAAAGAUGUAUCUGAAUCAUGCAGUGUUUUAUUAAAUGUAAUAAAGAAUUAAAC
Non-coding RNA from Pelodiscus sinensis (Chinese soft-shelled turtle), 1938 nucleotides. Lineage: Eukaryota; Metazoa; Chordata; Testudines; Trionychidae. The record is from RefSeq and is a predicted model, not a curated record.